UCUGGUGUCAGCCGCCGCGGUAAAACCAGCACCUCAAGUGGUCAGGAUGAUUAUUGGGCCUAAAGCAUCCGUAGCCUGCUUUGUUAGUUUUCGGUUAAAUCCAUACGCUCAACGUAUGGGCUGCCGGGAAUACUGCAAAGCUAGGGAGUGGGAGAGGUAGACGGUACUCGGUAGGAAGGGGUAAAAUCCUUUGAUCUAUUGAUGACCACCUGUGGCGAAGGCGGUCUACCAGAACACGUCCGACGGUGAGGGAUGAAAGCUGGGGGAGCAAACCGGAUUAGAUACCCGGGUAGUCCCAGCUGUAAACUAUGCAAACUCGGUGAUGCAUUGGCUUGAUGCCGAUGCAGUGCCGCAGGGAAGCCGUUAAGUUUGCCGCCUGGGAAGUACGUACGCAAGUAUGAAACUUAAAGGAAUUGGCGGGGGAGCACCACAAGGGGUGAAGCCUGCGGUUCAAUUGGAGUCAACGCCAGAAAUCUUACCCGGAGAGACAGCAGAAUGAAGGUCAAGCUGAAGACUUUACCAGACAAGCU
Molecule: ribosomal RNA, 530 nt
Filed under: uncultured Nitrososphaerota archaeon
Lineage: Archaea; Thermoproteati; Nitrososphaerota
Description: bacterial SSU rRNA
Rfam family: Archaeal small subunit ribosomal RNA
Source: RNAcentral